GGUGAACGCUGGCGGCGUGCCUAAUACAUGCAAGUCGAGCGACCGCACGUGCAUCUUGCUUUUCUGAUGUUAGCGGCGGGCGGGUGAUUCAUCCGUAGAUAACCUAUCUAUAAGACUGAGCUAACUUCGCUAAACCUGAUCUAACAUCCGAUAAUCUUUUGAACCGCAUGGUUCACAAGUCAUAGCCGGUCUUGCUGUCCCUUUUUGAUGUAUCCGCGCUGCAUUAGCUAGUUGGUACGGUAACGGCUUACCAAGGCAACGAUGCAUAGCCGACCUGAGAGGGUGAUCGGCCACACUGGAACUGAGACACGGUCCAGACUCCUACGGGAGGCAGCAGUAGGGAAUAUUCGGCAAUGGGCGAAAGCCUGACGGAGCAACGCCGCGUGAGUGAAGAAGGUCUUCGGGUCGUAAAGCUCUGUUAUUAGGGAAGAACAUAUGUGGAAGUAACUGUGCAGAGCAUGACGGUACCGAAUCAGAAAGCAACGGCUAACUACGUG
Molecule: ribosomal RNA, 497 nt
Filed under: uncultured bacterium
Lineage: Bacteria
Description: partial 16S ribosomal RNA
Rfam family: Bacterial small subunit ribosomal RNA
Source: RNAcentral